Molecule: ribosomal RNA, 567 nt
Filed under: uncultured archaeon
Lineage: Archaea
Description: bacterial SSU rRNA
Rfam family: Archaeal small subunit ribosomal RNA
Source: RNAcentral
CGCGAUUCGCCCUUCGGGGCGCAGCAGGCGCGAAAACUUUACAAUGCCGGCAACGGCGAUAAGGGAACCUCGAGUGCCAGGUUACAAAUCUGGCUGUCGUGAUGCCUAAAAAGCAUUGCAUAGCAAGGGCCGGGCAAGACCGGUGCCAGCCGCCGCGGUAACACCGGCGGCUCGAGUGGUAACCGUUAUUAUUGGGUCUAAAGGGUCUGUAGCCGGCCGGGUAAGUCUCUUGGGAAAUCUGGCAGCUUAACUGUCAGGCUUUCAGGAGAUACUGCCUGGCUCGAGGCCGGGAGAGGUGAGAGGUACUUCAGGGGUAGGGGUGAAAUCUUGUAAUCCUUGAAGGACCACCAGUGGCGAAGGCGUCUCACCAGAACGGACCUGACGGCAAGGGACGAAAGCUAGGGGCACGAACCGGAUUAGAUACCCGGGUAGUCCUAGCCGUAAACGAUACUCGCUAGGUGUCGGCCACGGUGCGACCGUGGUCGGUGCCGUAGGGAAGCCGUGAAGCGAGCCACCUGGGAAGUACGGCCGCAAGGCUGAAACUUAAAGGAAUUGGCGGGGGAGCAC